Molecule: long non-coding RNA, 1219 nt
Organism: Oxyura jamaicensis (ruddy duck)
Lineage: Eukaryota; Metazoa; Chordata; Aves; Anseriformes; Anatidae
Exons: 3
Source: RefSeq, a predicted model, not a curated record
CUCAGGAUUGGGAAUCCCAAGCCAAGGUGUCUUGCUUCAACCCCGAGUUAGGAUUCGCUGCUGUUUGAAGUGUCUUGAGAGAUCUGUGGACGUGUCCAGCUGGUUCACAUAGAGAGUUUUUUGCUUCCCAGGUUGGCUGGAUCCCCUUGCUGGAUGCUCUUCUCUGCUGCAUCAGGCAGGGUGUCUUAAUUCGGGGCUCUGGAUUUGGGCAAAGAAACAGUGCAGUGCUAGGCCCUGUGCUGGAUGUGGCCUCUCUGCGAUGUGUGUGAGUAAUGGUAGCAGAGGCACAAGAGCAGGAUGACUGUACAGGAGAGAGAGCUGCACGUGACUUGCUGGAGUGAAAAACGUAUUUGUAAAGGGAUUAAAUUAGUGCUGGGUACAAGAACGCCGCUUAGUGAAACAAAUGACUCUACUUCUUCUCAGUGGCAGGAAAAGUGACACAUCCCGGAUAACCGGCGGUCCCCGCUCCUUUCUCAGUGUCCCUGCAGGGCGGAUGGUGCCGGAGCCGGCUGAGGAACGAGGGCCAGCUCUGUCCUGCUGCAUGGGAGGCCGGUGGCAGCAGUGGUGGUGGCAAUGGUGGUGGCAGUGGUGGUGGUGGUGGCAGUGCUUCCCAGCUAUGGAGCUUGCAGCAAAGCCUCUCCUCGGUGCUGCGAGAGCACGGCGGGAGGGAGCAGGCACGUGCGAGCUGCUGGAAUGAGAUCUCACCCAGACGUGGGACCAUUUGUGAGAGUUUGGCCACCGUCCGUGUGAUGGAGCAAUGUAGCUGGGUUGUGGGUUGACUUGCGCUUGCAUCACUGCAACCCUGAACCAGAUUGCAUCUGCAGUCAUCUGACUGCAUGCCUGGACUGAUAAGUGGUGCUGUGGAAGCAUGGGUCUCGGGGGCCUUGGCAAGAUGCUUUUGCAGUAUCCCGUCCCCUCGUCAUGCUGUCCUCUGGAAGACAGAAGAAUGAGAAUCAGCGGUGUGCCAGUAUCCUGCGAACAGUUUGAGAACUACUGUGUGAAAACAAAAAGCAACCGUACAGUGUGAGCGCAGCAAGCGCGUGCUUCCCAACAACCUGCAGUCGCGCUGUGUUCCCCAUGGGAACUGAAGCUGGGUUCUCCCUCUCGUUAUCUGUGUUCCUCUCUGUUACCGUAACAAAGUUGUUGCUCUCCAGCUCCCACAUGUUCAUGCAGAAAUGGAGAUAUUCUCCACGCAGAUUAAACAAGGUCUACAAAUUCA